CCCUUAGAUGUUCUGGGCCGCACGCGCGCUACACUGAUGCAUUCAACGAGUUCUACCUUGGCCGAGAGGCCUGGGCAAUCUUUUGAACCUGCAUCGUGAUAGGGAUAGAUUAUUGCAAUUAUUAAUCUUGAACGAGGAAUUCCUAGUAAACGCAGUUCAUCAAACUGCAUUGAUUACGUCCCUGCCCUUUGUACACACCGCCCGUCGCACCUACCGAUUGAAUGGUCCGGUGAAAUCUCGGGACGGCGGCUUGGUCGCUUGCGUCCGACUGCUGAAACUUGAUUAAACCAUAUCAUUUAGAGGAAGGUGAAGUCGUAACA
RNAcentral lists this ribosomal RNA (320 nucleotides) under uncultured eukaryote. RNAcentral describes it as "partial 18S ribosomal RNA". It matches the Rfam family "Eukaryotic small subunit ribosomal RNA", at positions 1470 to 1796 of the family's 1831-position model. The record is from RNAcentral.